Molecule: ribosomal RNA, 253 nt
Filed under: uncultured bacterium
Lineage: Bacteria
Description: partial 16S ribosomal RNA
Rfam family: Bacterial small subunit ribosomal RNA
Source: RNAcentral
UACAGAGGUCUCGAGCGUUGUUCGGAUUCAUUGGGCGUAAAGGGCGCGUAGGCGGCGGGGUAAGUCUGGUGUGAAAUCUCGGAGCUCAACUCCGAAAUUGCACUGGAUACUGCUCUGCUAGAGGGCUGGAGAGGAGAUCGGAAUUCACGGUGUAGCAGUGAAAUGCGUAGAUAUCUGGAGGAACACCGGUGGCGAAGGCGGCAUCCUGGACCGGUAUUGACGCUGAGGCGCGAAAGCCAGGGGAGCAAACGGG